AUUGAACGCUGGCGGCAGGCCUAACACAUGCAAGUCGAACGGUAGCACAGGAGAGCUUGCUCUCUGGGUGACGAGUGGCGGACGGGUGAGUGAUGCAUGGGAGCUGCCCAAUCGAGGGGGAUACCAGCUGGAAACGGCUGCUAAUACCGCAUACGCCCUGAGGGGAAAAGGUGGGGACCUUCGGGCCUACCGCGAUUGGAUGCACCCAUGUGGGAUUAGCUAGUUGGUGAGGUAACGGCUCACCAAGGCGACGAUCUCUAGCUGGUCUGAGAGGAUGACCAGCCACACUGGAACGGAGACACGGUCCAGACUCCUACGGGAGGAAGCAGUGGGGAAUAUUGCACAAUGGGGGAAACCCUGAUGCAGCCAUGCCGCGUGUGUGAAGAAGGCCUUCGGGUUGUAAAGCACUUUCAGUGGGGAGGAAGGGUUGAUGUCUAAUACGCAUCAGCAUUGACGUUACCCACAGAAGAAGCACCGGCUAACUCCGUGCCAGCCGCCGCAGUAA
RNAcentral lists this ribosomal RNA (505 nucleotides) under uncultured bacterium. Its description in RNAcentral is "partial 16S ribosomal RNA". It matches the Rfam family "Bacterial small subunit ribosomal RNA", at positions 29 to 523 of the family's 1533-position model. The record is from RNAcentral.